AACAUAACAUUAUACAUAUCUCCUAUCUUUUGGGCAACAUGGAAGAAAAUCUCACUUGGGCAGUAAGGAGUGUCGAGGUUGAUAAUGUCGUAUAUGAAAUGUUUCACCUUCAUUCUGCUCUGAGAUAAUUGUUGCAGACAUCCCCUAGACUAGCUCUUUGUUUGAUCCUUGGUGUAGUCCCAACUAGCAUAAGCCUUUCUUCACUCUAUCUACUCCAACUGCCUUUUAGGUUGAAAGGUCCUUAUCACAUAAAAUUUUGGUGAGAAAAUAAGACGUCAUUUCAAGUCUUCAACCAAUCUUCUAGCUGAAAUCAAAUUAGAUUUGAUACCUAACACAUAAAGAAUAUUAUGGAGGGUCAACGCAUCUAUUAUCUUCAUUUUUCUAAUGUGGGAUACAUUCACCUUAUUGCCAUUCAGUAAAGCAACUUGUGAGGAAACUUCUAUUGUGAUGUUAGUGUACAAGGAUGAUGUGGGUACAAUAUGAUCUAAAGCACUUAUAUGUAUGAUUUAAGAAGAUA
This 517-nucleotide long non-coding RNA is filed under the name Carica papaya (papaya). RNAcentral's name for it is "long non-coding RNA (CPAP_LNC014392)". Lineage: Eukaryota; Viridiplantae; Streptophyta; Magnoliopsida; Brassicales; Caricaceae. The record is from RNAcentral.